Molecule: ribosomal RNA, 468 nt
Filed under: uncultured bacterium
Lineage: Bacteria
Description: partial 16S ribosomal RNA
Rfam family: Bacterial small subunit ribosomal RNA
Source: RNAcentral
GACGAACGCUGGCGGCGUGCUUAACACAUGCAAGUCGAACGGAAAGGCCCUGCUUUUGUGGGGUGCUCGAGUGGCGAACGGGUGAGUAACACGUGAAUAACCUGCCCUUGACUUUGGGAUAACUUCAGGAAACUGGGGCUAAUACCGGAUAGGAGCUCCUGCUGCAUGGUGGGGGUUGGAAAGUUUCGGCGGUUGGGGAUGGACUCGCGGCUUAUCAGCUUGUUGGUGGGGUAGUGGCUUACCAAGGCUUUGACGGGUAGCCGGCCUGAGAGGGUGACCGGCCACAUUGGGACUGAGAUACGGCCCAGACUCCUACGGGAGGCAGCAGUGGGGAAUAUUGCACAAUGGGCGGAAGCCUGAUGCAGCAACGCCGCGUGCGGGAUGACGGCCUUCGGGUUGUAAACCGCCUUCGCCUGUGACGAAGCGUGAGUGACGGUAAUGGGUAAAGAAGCACCGGCUAACUACGUG